Non-coding RNA from Erinaceus europaeus (western European hedgehog), 335 nucleotides. Lineage: Eukaryota; Metazoa; Chordata; Mammalia; Eulipotyphla; Erinaceidae. The record is from Rfam.
GGAUGUGAGGGGGAUAGGUUGCUACAUCUGUCACCCUGCUGACCUGACCUCCAGGGUUGAUUCUGCUGAUCUGACUGGCUAGGCAGGUGAGGGUUCCUCUCUCACCAUUCCAUGUGUAUCCUUCCAGAAGCUGUGCACUGGGUGGAAGAGGACAGCCUUUCCCCGAAUAGAGACAAGGUCUUCAAUCAAAGGUAUAUGAGUAGCUGCACUCCCCUGCUAAAACUUCCAAAUAAGUUCUCAAAAGUGCAUUCCCUGAGUCCAUCUAGGAAAGCAACUUUCACAAAUCUGAUUCUAAGACAGUGGACUAAAGCGAGUUAUGUAAAGAGUUAGGCUUU